Salvia hispanica is the source of this 413-nucleotide long non-coding RNA. RefSeq lists it as uncharacterized. NCBI's taxonomy places the organism in Eukaryota, Viridiplantae, Streptophyta, Magnoliopsida, Lamiales, Lamiaceae. The record is from RefSeq and is a predicted model, not a curated record.
GCCCACGGGUUGCGGGCUAUAUUGACAUCCCUACAAAUGACUACUUAAAGUAUAGCUGCUCAACCAAUUCAUUACACGAGAACUUCUAUUCAGAGAAAGGAAGCAAAUAUCACUUGCAAAAAGCUCUAGCUAACAGUUUCAUGUAUUAAAAGCUGGCUCAAGAGAUGAGUUUGAUCAAAGAUUUGGAAAAGAAAGAGACGGAGUACAAGGACGGAGUUCAAGAGACUGAGAAAGAACAAGAUAUGUGUAGAUGAUAAAUUUUCCAACAACAUUUCCACUAGACAUGAGACUAAGAAGGAACAUGAAUCAUCAUUUGUUACUAUUAACUAAAGUUUUAGAAUUUGUAUUGAUGCUCAAUAGUAUUACACUUUGGUCUUAUGAGUAAUUAAAGAGUAUUGGUGUAUCUAUUGUUA